RNAcentral lists this ribosomal RNA (1252 nucleotides) under Acinetobacter calcoaceticus. RNAcentral describes it as "bacterial SSU rRNA". It matches the Rfam family "Bacterial small subunit ribosomal RNA", at positions 97 to 1344 of the family's 1533-position model. Lineage: Bacteria; Pseudomonadati; Pseudomonadota; Gammaproteobacteria; Moraxellales; Moraxellaceae. The record is from RNAcentral.
GGCGGACGGGUGAGUAAUGCUUAGGAAUCUGCCUAUUAGUGGGGGACAACAUUCCGAAAGGAAUGCUAAUACCGCAUACGCCCUACGGGGGAAAGCAGGGGAUCUUCGGACCUUGCGCUAAUAGAUGAGCCUAAGUCGGAUUAGCUAGUUGGUGGGGUAAAGGCCUACCAAGGCGACGAUCUGUAGCGGGUCUGAGAGGAUGAUCCGCCACACUGGGACUGAGACACGGCCCAGACUCCUACGGGAGGCAGCAGUGGGGAAUAUUGGACAAUGGGCGCAAGCCUGAUCCAGCCAUGCCGCGUGUGUGAAGAAGGCCUUUUGGUUGUAAAGCACUUUAAGCGAGGAGGAGGCUCCUUUAGUUAAUACCUAAAGUGAGUGGACGUUACUCGCAGAAUAAGCACCGGCUAACUCUGUGCCAGCAGCCGCGGUAAUACAGAGGGUGCGAGCGUUAAUCGGAUUUACUGGGCGUAAAGCGUGCGUAGGCGGCUUUUUAAGUCGGAUGUGAAAUCCCUGAGCUUAACUUAGGAAUUGCAUUCGAUACUGGAAAGCUAGAGUAUGGGAGAGGAUGGUAGAAUUCCAGGUGUAGCGGUGAAAUGCGUAGAGAUCUGGAGGAAUACCGAUGGCGAAGGCAGCCAUCUGGCCUAAUACUGACGCUGAGGUACGAAAGCAUGGGGAGCAAACAGGAUUAGAUACCCUGGUAGUCCAUGCCGUAAACGAUGUCUACUAGCCGUUGGGGCCUUUGAGGCUUUAGUGGCGCAGCUAACGCGAUAAGUAGACCGCCUGGGGAGUACGGUCGCAAGACUAAAACUCAAAUGAAUUGACGGGGGCCCGCACAAGCGGUGGAGCAUGUGGUUUAAUUCGAUGCAACGCGAAGAACCUUACCUGGCCUUGACAUACUAAGAACUUUCCAGAGAUGGAUUGGUGCCUUCGGGAACUUAGAUACAGGUGCUGCAUGGCUGUCGUCAGCUCGUGUCGUGAGAUGUUGGGUUAAGUCCCGCAACGAGCGCAACCCUUUUCCUUAUUUGCCAGCGGGUAAUGCCGGGAACUUUAAGGAUACUGCCAGUGACAAACUGGAGGAAGGCGGGGACGACGUCAAGUCAUCAUGGCCCUUACGGCCAGGGCUACACACGUGCUACAAUGGUCGGUACAAAGGGUUGCUACCUCGCGAGAGGAUGCUAAUCUCAAAAAGCCGAUCGUAGUCCGGAUCGCAGUCUGCAACUCGACUGCGUGAAGUCGGAAUCGCUAGUAAUCG